CAUUUGACCAAUAGGACAAAACUGCCCCCCUCCUGUCAAUCUUCCGACACUGGGAGGGUCCGGGUAUACACUCCGGUCCUUGUCUGUUGACGAGACAGAAGGAGCGGGGCGUCCGAGGGUUUGAGGUCAUCUCAGCUGUAACUUUUCUGGACGCUACGACUGUAGUUUGGAGUCUGUUUCCGCUGCAGAUACAAGGACAUGCAUCACUUCUGACAAGGUAGCAUGGCCGCCCGCAGACUUCAGAAGGAAUUCACUGCUGCAUAAAGGUCAACUUCUCCAUGACUCUGGCCGCAAACAGAAUUCACUGGACCCCGGUCACGGAAACGCUGGGGCGUGUGCAGAUAUCACCCAGGAAAACAAACAAAAAAGCAAGAAAAGAAAAGAAACCAAUAGAGUAAAAAGUGGCCAGGUCACCCAAAAACACGUGAUACAAAACACACAAAUAAAACAUAAACCCCUCCAACAAAACAACACUUCUAUCACACAGUAAGAAUACGCAAAAUAAAGGACAGCAUCAUGUAGUCAAAGAAGUCUGCCUGUCUUAAAAAGUCCAAUGUACGGUGAGUUUUAUCUUCGCGUACUUUCUUUAUCAUCGAUGCGUCAGUCAUAGUCUAUAAAGUGACAUCUGAACAAACUGUAUCAGCUACAUGUCCAAGCUUAUCAUUCUUCACUGUAAGAAGUUAUAAGUUACCAAAUACAUCAAGAAACAUGUGACACGUUGGUCUUUAGUCUCCAGAAAGCUCAUUUGAAAUAUCUUUUAAAAGCUGCAAUGGUGUAUAAAAACUGCCCAAAGAAGCAACUUACAGUUCCUCAAUGUUACAUGCAAACGCCCGUCCCGCAAGUUCUUGUCAAAAACGAAUUCCCCUGGGAAUGCGUGCGUGGAAUAUUUAGAAUUCCUGGCAACUUAAUCGCAGUACUAUAAGAACGGCUCCGCCCCUGAGGCGUCGCCAAAAAGAAUU
Long non-coding RNA from Branchiostoma floridae (Florida lancelet), 959 nucleotides. RefSeq lists it as uncharacterized. The record is from RefSeq and is a predicted model, not a curated record. NCBI's taxonomy places the organism in Eukaryota, Metazoa, Chordata, Leptocardii, Amphioxiformes, Branchiostomatidae. The transcript is spliced from 3 exons.